GGGCCCGCACAAGCGGCGGAGCAUGCGGAUUAAUUCGAUGCAACGCGAAGAACCUUACCAAGGCUUGACAUACACUGAACCGGUCUGGAAACAGUCCUUCCCCUUUUGGGGUUGGUGUACAGGUGGUGCAUGGUUGUCGUCAGCUCGUGUCGUGAGAUGUUGGGUUAAGUCCCGCAACGAGCGCAACCCUCGUUCUAUGUUGCCAGCACGUGAUGGUGGGAACUCAUAGGAGACUGCCGGGGUCAACUCGGAGGAAGGUGGGGAUGACGUCAAAUCAUCAUGCCCUUUAUGUCUUGGGCUUCACGCAUGCUACAAUGGCUGGUACAGAGGGCUGCAAUACCGCAAGGUGGAGCGAA
This 356-nucleotide ribosomal RNA is filed under the name uncultured bacterium. Its description in RNAcentral is "bacterial SSU rRNA". It matches the Rfam family "Bacterial small subunit ribosomal RNA", at positions 917 to 1271 of the family's 1533-position model. The record is from RNAcentral.